Molecule: unclassified non-coding RNA, 287 nt
Filed under: Hevea brasiliensis (rubber tree)
Lineage: Eukaryota; Viridiplantae; Streptophyta; Magnoliopsida; Malpighiales; Euphorbiaceae
Source: RNAcentral
AAUGAGUACAAGAGAAUGUACCAACCUGAUAUUGAGCACUCAAGUGAUGAUAGUUCAUAGAUCUCAAUUGGUAAUACAAGCUCUUCCGCAUGUCUUAUGCCAAAAUUUUUUUUUUGAAGCAUCACUACAAGAAAUAAAAGUUGGAGGCUCUUAGUGGUGUAGAUUCAAAAAGAGAGUUAGAAGUAUAUCUAAGUGAGGCUAUCUAAGAGGACAAGGGAGAUUUUAAUAUCCUUAAAUGGUAGAAGAUUAAUUCUGAGAGAUUUCUUGUCCUAAGAAAAAUGGCAAGA